This 494-nucleotide ribosomal RNA is filed under the name uncultured bacterium. Its description in RNAcentral is "partial 16S ribosomal RNA". It matches the Rfam family "Bacterial small subunit ribosomal RNA", at positions 28 to 507 of the family's 1533-position model. The record is from RNAcentral.
GACGAACGCUGGCGGCGUGCUUAACACAUGCAAGUCGAACGGUGAAGCGCCUUCCUUUUUGGUGGGUGUGGAUGAGUGGCGAACGGGUGAGUAACACGUGAGUAACCUGCCCCCUUCUUCUGGAUAACCGCAUGAAAGUGUGGCUAAUACGGGAUAUUCUGGGUCUGUCGCAUGAUGGGUCUGGGAAAGAUAUUGUUUCGGUGGGGGAUGGGUCCGCGGCCUAUCAGCUUGUUGGUGGGGUGAUGGCCUACCAAGGCGGUGACGGGUAGCCGGCCUGAGAGGGUGGACGGUCACACUGGGACUGAGACACGGCCCAGACUCCGACGGGAGGCAGCAGUGGGGAAUAUUGCACAAUGGGCGAAAGCCUGAUGCAGCGACGCCGCGGGAGGGAUGGAGGCCUUCGGGUUGUGAACCUCUUUCGCCAGUGAAGCAGGCCUGCCUCGUUUGUGGGUGGGUUGACGGUAGCUGGAGAAGAAGCGCCGGCUAACUACGUG